GCUUGCACAGGUGCUGCAUGGCUGUCGUCAGCUCGUGUCGUGAGAUGUUCGGUUAAGUCCGCUAACGAGCGCAACCCUCACUGUGUGUUAUAUGUGUCACACGGGACUGCCGGUUUUAAGCCGGAGGAAGGUGGGGAUGACGUCAAGUCAGCAUGGCCUUUAUAUCCUGGGCUACACACACGCUACAAUGGUCGGUACAAUAGGUUGCCAAGCCGCGAGGCGGAGCCAAUCCACAAAGCCGGCCUCAGUUCAGAUUGUAGGCUGCAACUCGCCUGCAUGAAGAUGGAGUUGCUAGUAACCGCAGGUCAGCAAUACUGCGGUGAAUACGUUCCCGGGUCUU
This 340-nucleotide ribosomal RNA is filed under the name uncultured Anaerolineaceae bacterium. RNAcentral's name for it is "bacterial SSU rRNA". It matches the Rfam family "Bacterial small subunit ribosomal RNA", at positions 1028 to 1382 of the family's 1533-position model. The record is from RNAcentral. Lineage: Bacteria; Bacillati; Chloroflexota; Anaerolineae; Anaerolineales; Anaerolineaceae.